Oncorhynchus keta (chum salmon) is the source of this 434-nucleotide long non-coding RNA. RefSeq lists it as uncharacterized. The record is from RefSeq and is a predicted model, not a curated record. The transcript has 4 exons. NCBI's taxonomy places the organism in Eukaryota, Metazoa, Chordata, Actinopteri, Salmoniformes, Salmonidae.
ACUUCCACACAAACAGUAGGUAUCCUACGCACAUACUUCCACACAAACAGUAGGUAUCCUACGCACAUACUUCCACACAAACAGUAGGUAUCCUACGCACAUACUUCCACACAAACAGUAGGUAUCCUACGCACAUACUUCCACACAAACAGUAGGUAUCCUACGCACAUACUUCCACACAAACAGUAGGUAUCCUACGCACAUACUUCCACACAAACAGUAGGUAUCCUACGCACAUACUUCCACACAAACAGUAGGUAUCCUACGCACAUACUUCCACACAAACAGUAGGUAUCCUACGCACAUACUUCCACACAAACAGUAGGUAUCCUACGCACAUACUUCCACACAAACAGUAGGUAUCCUACGCACAUACUUCCACACAAACAGUAGGUAUCCUACGCACGUACUUCCACACAAACAGUAGGUAUCCU